AAAGAAACCAACAGGGAUUGCCCCAGUAACGGCGAGUGAAGCGGCAAGAGCUCAAAUUUGAAAGCUGGCUCCUUCGGGGUCCGCAUUGUAAUUUGCAGAGGAUGCUUCGGGAGCGGUCCCCAUCUAAGUGCCCUGGAACGGGACGUCAUAGAGGGUGAGAAUCCCGUAUGGGAUGGGGUGUCCGCGCCCGUGUGAAGCUCCUUCGACGAGUCGAGUUGUUUGGGAAUGCAGCUCUAAAUGGGUGGUAAAUUUCAUCUAAAGCUAAAUAUUGGCCGGAGACCGAUAGCGCACAAGUAGAGUGAUCGAAAGAUGAAAAGCACUUUGAAAAGAGAGUUAAAAAGCACGUGAAAUUGUUGAAAGGGAAGCGCUUGCGACCAGACUCGCUCGCGGGGUUCAGCCGGCAUUCGUGCCGGUGUACUUCCCCGCGGGCGGGCCAGCGUCGGUUUGGGCGGUCGGUCAAAGGCCCUCGGAAGGUAACGCCCCCAGGGGCGUCUUAUAGCCGAGGGUGCAAUGCGACCUGCCUAGACCGAGGAACGCGCUUCGGCUCGGACGCUGGCAUAAUGGUCGUAAACGAC
RNAcentral lists this ribosomal RNA (575 nucleotides) under Penicillium hirsutum. Its description in RNAcentral is "eukaryotic LSU rRNA". It matches the Rfam family "Eukaryotic large subunit ribosomal RNA", at positions 58 to 648 of the family's 3401-position model. Lineage: Eukaryota; Fungi; Ascomycota; Eurotiomycetes; Eurotiales; Aspergillaceae. The record is from RNAcentral.